This 329-nucleotide unclassified non-coding RNA is filed under the name soil metagenome. Its description in RNAcentral is "partial contains 5.8S ribosomal RNA, internal transcribed spacer 2, and large subunit ribosomal RNA". The stretch from base 1 to 120 matches the Rfam family "5.8S ribosomal RNA", at positions 35 to 154 of the family's 154-position model. The record is from RNAcentral.
GAUGAAGAACGCAGCGAAAUGCGAUAAGUAAUGUGAAUUGCAGAAUUUAGUGAAUCAUCGAAUCUUUGAACGCACAUUGCGCCCCUUGGUAUUCCGAGGGGCAUGCCUGUUCGAGCGUCAUUUCACCACUCAAGCCUGGCUUGGUGUUGGGCGACGUCCUCUUUGGGGACGCGCCUCGAAACGCUCGGCGGCGUGGCACCGGCUUUAAGCGUAGCAGAAUCUUUCGCUUUGGAAGUCGGGGCCCCGUCUGCCGGAAGACCUGCUCGCAAGGUUGACCUCGGAUCAGGCAGGGAUACCCGCUGAACUUAAGCAUAUCAAUAAGCGGAGGA